Molecule: ribosomal RNA, 253 nt
Filed under: uncultured bacterium
Lineage: Bacteria
Description: partial 16S ribosomal RNA
Rfam family: Bacterial small subunit ribosomal RNA
Source: RNAcentral
UACGUAGGCAGCGAGCGUUGUUCGGAGUUACUGGGCGUAAAGGGUGUGUAGGCGGUUUGGUAAGUCUGGUGUGAAAUCUCCCGGCUCAACUGGGAGGGUGCGCCGGAAACUGCCGGACUAGAGUGCGGGAGAGGAGAGUGGAAUUCCUGGUGUAGCGGUGAAAUGCGUAGAUAUCAGGAGGAACACCGGUGGUGUAGACGGCUCUCUGGGCCGUAACUGACGCUGAGACACGAAAGCGUGGGUAGCAAACAGG